Molecule: ribosomal RNA, 468 nt
Filed under: uncultured bacterium
Lineage: Bacteria
Description: partial 16S ribosomal RNA
Rfam family: Bacterial small subunit ribosomal RNA
Source: RNAcentral
GACGAACGCUGGCGGCGUGCUUAACACAUGCAAGUCGAACGGAAAGGCCCUGCUUUUGUGGGGUGCUCGAGUGGCGAACGGGUGAGUAACACGUGAGUAACCUGCCCUUGACUUUGGGAUAACUUCAGGAAACUGGGGCUAAUACCGGAUAGGAGCUCCUGCUGCAUGGUGGGGGUUGGAACGUUUCGGCGGUUGGGGAUGGACUCGCGGCUUAUCAGCUUGUUGGUGGGGUAGUGGCUUACCAAGGCUUUGACGGGUAGCCGGCCUGCGAGGGGGACCGGCCACAUUGGGACUGAGAUACGGCCCAGACUCCUACGGGGGGCAGCAGGGGGGAAUAUGGCACAAUGGGCGGAAGCCUGAUGCAGCAACGCCGCGGGCGGGAUGACGGCCUUCGGGGUGUAAACCGCUUUCGCCUGUGACGAAGCGUGAGUGACGGUAAUGGGUAAAGAAGCACCGGCUAACUACGUG